GAUGAACGCUGGCGGCGUGCCUAAUACAUGCAAGUCGAGCGAACGGACGAGAAGCUUGCUUCUCUGAUGUUAGCGGCGGACGGGUAAGUAACACGUGGAUAACCUACCUAUAAGACUGGGAUAACUUCGGGAAACCGGAGCUAAUACCGGAUAAUAUUUUGAACCGCAUGGUUCAAAAGUGAAAGACGGUCUUGCUGUCACUUAUAGAUGGAUCCGCGCUGCAUUAGCUAGUUGGUAAGGUAACGGCUUACCAAGGCAACGAUGCAUAGCCGACCUGAGAGGGUGAUCGGCCACACUGGAACUGAGACACGGUCCAGACUCCUACGGGAAGCAGCAGUAGGGAAUCUUCCGCAAUGGGCGAAAGCCUGACGGAGCAACGCCGCGUGAGUGAUGAAGGUCUUCGGAUCGUAAAACUCUGUUAUUAGGGAAGAACAUAUGUGUAAGUAACUGUGCACAUCUUGACGGUACCUAAUCAGAAAGCCACGGCUAACUACGUG
This 497-nucleotide ribosomal RNA is filed under the name uncultured bacterium. RNAcentral's name for it is "partial 16S ribosomal RNA". It matches the Rfam family "Bacterial small subunit ribosomal RNA", at positions 28 to 507 of the family's 1533-position model. The record is from RNAcentral.